UACGGGGGGGGCAAGCGUUGUUCGGAAUUACUGGGCGUAAAGGGCUCGUAGGCGGCCAACUAAGUCACACGUGAAAUCCCUUGGCUUAACUAAGGAAUGGCGCUCGAAACUACCUCGCUAGAGGGCGGGAGAGGGAAGUGGAACUCUCGGUGUAGGGGUGAAAUCUGUAGAUAUCGAGAGGAACACCGGUGGCGAAGGCGGCUUCCUGGCCCGCAUCUGACGCUGAGGCGCGAAAGCGUGGGGAGCGAACAGG
This 253-nucleotide ribosomal RNA is filed under the name uncultured bacterium. RNAcentral's name for it is "partial 16S ribosomal RNA". It matches the Rfam family "Bacterial small subunit ribosomal RNA", at positions 524 to 776 of the family's 1533-position model. The record is from RNAcentral.